RNAcentral lists this ribosomal RNA (301 nucleotides) under uncultured bacterium. Its description in RNAcentral is "partial 16S ribosomal RNA". It matches the Rfam family "Bacterial small subunit ribosomal RNA", at positions 509 to 807 of the family's 1533-position model. The record is from RNAcentral.
CAGUAGCCGCGGGAACACGAAGGGGGCUAGCGUUGUUCGGAUUUACUGGGCGUAAAGCGCACGUAGGCGGAUAUUUAAGUCAGGGGUGAAAUCCUGGAGCUCAACUCCAGAACUGCCUUUGAUACUGGGUAUCUAGAGUCCGGAAGAGGUGAGUGGAACUCCUAGUGUAGAGGUGGAAUUCGUAGAUAUUAGGAAGAACACCAGAGGCGAAGGCGGCUCACUGGUCCGGUACUGACGCUGAGGUGCGAAAGCGUGGGGAGCAAACAGGAUUAGAUACCCCAGUAGUCCCUGUCUCUUAUAC